This 696-nucleotide ribosomal RNA is filed under the name uncultured bacterium. Its description in RNAcentral is "bacterial SSU rRNA". It matches the Rfam family "Bacterial small subunit ribosomal RNA", at positions 111 to 823 of the family's 1533-position model. The record is from RNAcentral.
UAACGCGUGAGUAACCUGCCCUAGAGUGGGGGACAACAGUUGGAAACGACUGCUAAUACCGCAUAAGCCCACGGUACCGCAUGGUACUGAGGGAAAAGGAUUUAUUCGCUUUAGGAUGGACUCGCGUCCAAUUAGCUAGUUGGUGAGGUAACGGCCCACCAAGGCGACGAUUGGUAGCCGGACUGAGAGGUUGAACGGCCACAUUGGGACUGAGACACGGCCCAGACUCCUACGGGAGGCAGCAGUGGGGGAUAUUGCACAAUGGGGGAAACCCUGAUGCAGCGACGCCGCGUGGAGGAAGAAGGUUUUCGGAUUGUAAACUCCUGUCGUUAGGGACGAUAAUGACGGUACCUAACAAGAAAGCACCGGCUAACUACGUGCCAGCGGCCGCGGUAAAACGUAGGGUGCAAGCGUUGUCCGGAAUUACUGGGUGUAAAGGGAGCGCAGGCGGGAAGACAAGUUGGAAGUGAAAACCAUGGGCUCAACCCAUGAAUUGCUUUCAAAACUGUUUUUCUUGAGUAGUGCAGAGGUAGAUGGAAUUCCCGGUGUAGCGGUGGAAUGCGUAGAUAUCGGGAGGAACACCAGUGGCGAAGGCGGUCUACUGGGCACCAACUGACGCUGAGGCUCGAAAGCAUGGGUAGCAAACAGGAUUAGAUACCCUGGUAGUCCAUGCCGUAAACGAUGAUUACUAGGUGU